RNAcentral lists this ribosomal RNA (478 nucleotides) under uncultured bacterium. Its description in RNAcentral is "bacterial SSU rRNA". It matches the Rfam family "Bacterial small subunit ribosomal RNA", at positions 391 to 860 of the family's 1533-position model. The record is from RNAcentral.
GCCAUGCCGCGUGUGUGAAGAAGGCCUUAUGGUUGUAAAGCACUUUAAGCGAGGAGGAGGCUACUAGUAUUAAUACUACUGGAUAGUGGACGUUACUCGCAGAAUAAGCACCGGCUAACUCUGUGCCAGCAGCCGCGGUAAUACAGAGGGUGCGAGCGUUAAUCGGAUUUACUGGGCGUAAAGCGUGCGUAGGCGGCCAUUUAAGUCAAAUGUGAAAUCCCCGAGCUUAACUUGGGAAUUGCAUUCGAUACUGGAUGGCUAGAGUAUGGGAGAGGAUGGUAGAAUUCCAGGUGUAGCGGUGAAAUGCGUAGAGAUCUGGAGGAAUACCGAUGGCGAAGGCAGCCAUCUGGCCUAAUACUGACGCUGAGGUACGAAAGCAUGGGGAGCAAACAGGAUUAGAUACCCUGGUAGUCCAUGCCGUAAACGAUGUCUACUAGCCGUUGGGGCCUUUGAGGCUUUAGUGGCGCAGCUAACGCGA